GACGAGUGGCGGACGGGUGAGUAAUGCUUGGGAACUUGCCUUUGCGAGGGGGAUAACAGUUGGAAACGACUGCUAAUACCGCAUAAUGUCUUCGGACCAAACGGGGCUUCGGCUCCGGCGCAAAGAGAGGCCCAAGUGAGAUUAGCUAGUUGGUAAGGUAACGGCUUACCAAGGCGACGAUCUCUAGCUGUUCUGAGAGGAAGAUCAGCCACACUGGGACUGAGACACGGCCCAGACUCCUACGGGAGGCAGCAGUGGGGAAUAUUGCACAAUGGGGGAAACCCUGAUGCAGCCAUGCCGCGUGUGUGAAGAAGGCCUUCGGGUUGUAAAGCACUUUCAGUUGUGAGGAAAAGUUAGUAGUUAAUACCUGCUAGCCGUGACGUUAACAACAGAAGAAGCACCGGCUAACUCCGUGCCAGCAGCCGCGGUAAUACGGAGGGUGCGAGCGUUAAUCGGAAUUACUGGGCGUAAAGCGCACGCAGGCGGUUUGUUAAGCUAGAUGUGAAAGCCCCGGGCUCAACCUGGGAUGGUCAUUUAGAACUGGCAGACUAGAGUCUUGGAGAGGGGAGUGGAAUUCCAGGUGUAGCGGUGAAAUGCGUAGAUAUCUGGAGGAACAUCAGUGGCGAAGGCGACUCCCUGGCCAAAGACUGACGCUCA
RNAcentral lists this ribosomal RNA (657 nucleotides) under Alteromonas macleodii. RNAcentral describes it as "bacterial SSU rRNA". It matches the Rfam family "Bacterial small subunit ribosomal RNA", at positions 90 to 749 of the family's 1533-position model. The record is from RNAcentral. Lineage: Bacteria; Pseudomonadati; Pseudomonadota; Gammaproteobacteria; Alteromonadales; Alteromonadaceae.